UUACGGUCAAAUCACGCUGAAACACCGGUUCUCGUUCAAUCACCGAGGUUAAGCAUCGUAGAGCCAGGUCAGUACUUAGAUGGGGGACCGCUUGGGAACACCUGGUACUGUAAG
Molecule: ribosomal RNA, 114 nt
Filed under: Acanthosepion pharaonis
Lineage: Eukaryota; Metazoa; Mollusca; Cephalopoda; Sepiida; Sepiidae
Source: RNAcentral